Molecule: ribosomal RNA, 253 nt
Filed under: uncultured bacterium
Lineage: Bacteria
Description: partial 16S ribosomal RNA
Rfam family: Bacterial small subunit ribosomal RNA
Source: RNAcentral
UACGAAGAGGGCUAGCGUUGCUCGGAAUCACUGGGCGUAAAGGGUGCGUAGGCGGGUCUUUAAGUCAGGGGUGAAAUCCUGGAGCUCAACUCCAGAACUGCCUUUGAUACUGAAGAUCUUGAGUUCGGGAGAGGUGAGUGGAACUGCGAGUGUAGAGGUGAAAUUCGUAGAUAUUCGCAAGAACACCAGUGGCGAAGGCGGCUCACUGGCCCGGUACUGACGCUGAGGCACGAAAGCGUGGGGAGCAAACAGG